This 279-nucleotide ribosomal RNA is filed under the name uncultured bacterium. RNAcentral's name for it is "partial 16S ribosomal RNA". It matches the Rfam family "Bacterial small subunit ribosomal RNA", at positions 506 to 784 of the family's 1533-position model. The record is from RNAcentral.
UGCCAGCAGCCGCGGUAAUACGGAGGGUGCAAGCGUUAAUCGGAAUUACUGGGCGUAAAGCGCGCGUAGGCGGAUUGUUAAGUCUCAUGUGAAAGCCCUGGGCUCAACCUGGGAACUGCAUGGGAUACUGGCAAUCUAGAAUACAGUAGAGGGUAGUGGAAUUUCAGGUGUAGCGGUGAAAUGCGUAGAGAUCUGAAGGAACAUCAGUGGCGAAGGCGACUACCUGGACUGAUAUUGACGCUGAGGUGCGAAAGCGUGGGGAGCAAACGGGAUUAGAUA